GACGGAGGGGGCGAGCGUUGUCCGGAAUUACUGGGCGUAAAGGGCGUGUAGGCGGGUUAGUAAGUCAGAUGUGAAAGUCCGGGGCUCAACCCCGGCGUUGCAUCUGAGACUGUUAGGCUCGAGGUCGAGAGAGGAAAGCGGAAUUCCUAGUGUAGAGGUGAAAUUCGUAGAUAUUAGGUGGAACACCAGUGGCGAAGGCGGCUUUCUGGUUAGUAUCUGACGCUGAGGCGCGAAAGCGUGGGGAGCAAACAGG
This 253-nucleotide ribosomal RNA is filed under the name uncultured bacterium. RNAcentral describes it as "partial 16S ribosomal RNA". It matches the Rfam family "Bacterial small subunit ribosomal RNA", at positions 524 to 776 of the family's 1533-position model. The record is from RNAcentral.